RNAcentral lists this transfer RNA (72 nucleotides) under Camelus bactrianus (Bactrian camel). It matches the Rfam family "tRNA". Rfam says of the family: Transfer RNA (tRNA) molecules are approximately 80 nucleotides in length. Their secondary structure includes four short double-helical elements and three loops (D, anti-codon, and T loops). Further hydrogen bonds mediate the characteristic L-shaped molecular structure. tRNAs have two regions of fundamental functional importance: the anti-codon, which is responsible for specific mRNA codon recognition, and the 3' end, to which the tRNAs corresponding amino acid is attached (by aminoacyl-tRNA synthetases). tRNAs cope with the degeneracy of the genetic code in two manners: having more than one tRNA (with a specific anti-codon) for a particular amino acid; and 'wobble' base-pairing, i.e. permitting non-standard base-pairing at the 3rd anti-codon position. RNAcentral also lists the same sequence under 2 other names. Lineage: Eukaryota; Metazoa; Chordata; Mammalia; Artiodactyla; Camelidae. The record is from Rfam by way of RNAcentral.
GAGGGUAUAGCUCAGUGGUAGAGCACAAGCCUAGGAUGCAAGAGGUCCUGGGCUCAAUCCCUAGCACCUCCA